Molecule: microRNA precursor, 80 nt
Filed under: macacine gammaherpesvirus 12
Lineage: Duplodnaviria; Heunggongvirae; Peploviricota; Herviviricetes; Herpesvirales; Orthoherpesviridae
Description: miRc-N2
Source: RNAcentral
GGUGGGUAAGACCCCACGACCGUGCCUUCGAUAGGCUCCGGCCCCGGCGCCGAGGACUCGGUCGAGGGGUCGAACCCGCC